CCUACGGGAGGCAGCAGUGAGGAAUAUUGGUCAAUGGGCGCGAGCCUGAACCAGCCAAGUCGCGUGAGGGCAGACGGUCCUAUGGAUUGUAAACCUCUUUUGUCGGGGAGCAAAAGACGCCACGCGUGGCGUUCCGAGAGUACCCGAAGAAAAAGCAUCGGCUAACUCCGUGCCAGCAGGCGCGGUAAUACGGAGGAUGCGCGCGUUAACCGGUUUUAUGGGGUGUAAAGGGUGCGCAGGCGGAAGAUCAAGCCAGCGGUAAAGUUGAGGGGCUCAACCUCUUCGAGCCGUUGAAACUGGUGUUCUGGAGUGAGUGAGAAGUAGGCGGAAUGCGUGGUGUAGCGGUGAAAUGCAUAGAUAUCACGCAGAACUCCGAUUGCGAAGGCAGCAUACCGGCGCUCAACUGACGCUCAUGCACGAAAGUGUGGGUAUCGAACAGGAUUAGAUACCCCAGUAGUC
Molecule: ribosomal RNA, 459 nt
Filed under: uncultured bacterium
Lineage: Bacteria
Description: partial 16S ribosomal RNA
Rfam family: Bacterial small subunit ribosomal RNA
Source: RNAcentral